This is a long non-coding RNA of Gasterosteus aculeatus aculeatus (three-spined stickleback), 4491 nucleotides long. Lineage: Eukaryota; Metazoa; Chordata; Actinopteri; Perciformes; Gasterosteidae. The record is from Ensembl.
AAGCUGAACUCUGCACAAAGUCCAAUGUGUCCAACUAUCUGGAACACGUUGUCCAGCCAACACUCCAAACCGCGGACCUCGCUGACUGGUCGAAAUGCACCAGAUGGACGAUUUGACCCUUUUGUCACUUUUGGUGAUUGAUGUUGUUUUUAAAAGCACGAGCCCAUCGGAGCGACUUUCGGCGCAGGGUCUUUCAACAGCGUGGACAUUUCCUGUCAGCACAAACAAGACGUUGCUCAACGAAGCUGUGGUUUUUCCUGGAGGGGAUUUCUGCUGCAUUUGCAGUAAUGUCUCCUUUUACCACAAGGAUGCCGGCCAAUUAAAAGCUGAAAAUCUGUUAUUCAGCACAAGCAAAUGACUGUUGACUGCUGUGCAGAAGCCCACAGCGGGCUUCCUCUGGAAAGUGUAGGGGUUAGCUUCCAGAUGGUCAACGGAUCUGCUUAAUGCACCAGAGGGGAGGAUGAGACUCCUGCUGCAAUUAAAUCAAACGAGUCGGCGACGACACUUUCUUCGCAUACCGUGCAAAUAUUGUUAAGGAAAUCUUGACGGACAAAAUCUGAUCCUUACUAGACGGGAUUAAUACGUGGUCCAUGUGUGGGUGCUCGUGUUUAAGAUAUAAAGGGGAAUUCAACGUUGUCACACAUGAAAUUCAACAAGUCUCAAGGAGUAUGGAGCCCCUUUUCCACAAAACUCCUCUCUUACAUCCGUUUCCGUAUUUUCGGCCCUUUAGUGGCACUUUCUUUGUCAUCUCAGAUACAAAUCCUCCGCUUCUCUGUCCGAGCAACGCUUUCAAAUGACUCCACUUCGAACAUGAAGCGAGACAGAAAAAAGAUGGACACUCAUAAUCAUCUACAAUGAGUGUGUUGUUCAAGAUUCAAGGUUCAAAGAUUUUCACUGUCAGUUACACACGCCCUGUGUAUUGAAAUUAUUGUGCUUGCCUUUUCUGGAAAGCAAAGCAAUUUUAAAAUUAAAAUUAAAAAAAAUAUUUACAUAAAUGUACAUGAAAUAAAAAUAAAAACGAGGUAAGGAUAAGGCAGAAAUGAGGUAAGGAGGAAAAGUGCAAAACUGAGCAGGUUGUAAAAGAAAAAAUUCUUUAUAUUGCACACAUUUCAUUUAAUUUAAAAGUACAGUAACAGUAAGUGAAAUCCUAACAAGCUAAAGUUGUCUAUUACCUCGUUAAAAAGAAACAUCCAUGUACCUGAUUGUGGUGAAAAAGUGGUUUUAUUGAACAUGUGAGGCAACAUCAUUAGUGGCGGAAAAAUGAAUUCAUUGAAGAUGAAAUAAUGAGUUGCAAGUUAUGAGUAAGUGAGUCAAUAAGUCAUGUAGGUGCACGUUUAGAGCUUUUAACACUGGCGAACACUGACAGCAGAGAGUCACCCAACAUGUUGAUGGUAAAAAGGGAUUAGCUGUCAGUUUACACUGAACAUCUACAUGUGCACCACAACUAUUUCAACUUCAUUCCACCAAUAAUGAAUGAACUGCUGAGGGGCGCCGGGUCGAGGAGACGGAGGGCAGGUGGGUGCCGACGGAGCCGAGAACCACUGAGACGGCCACACAGACACCGGCAGGUCCCCCACAUGGCACGACAUAAGGAGCGCGAGCUCCGAAAUCCCUCCACCCUUCUCCACCUUUCUCCACCCGCCAUCCUCUCCUCCUCUUCUCCCGCCGCACAUCAGCUCUGUGAGAGAAGGCCGCGGAAGCCGCGAGAGCAAGUGGAGCAUUUUGAAUAUCUAUUUUUGCCGUGUUACGCGUCCUCAGAGGACACGCCGAAGCGCACAGUGCUGAAUCACUGAAGCCACGCGUGACACCUGGCUGCUGCCGCCGGGUGAAAACAGCGACGGCUGUUAUUUGUGUUUUCGUAUUUCUCUCGAUUGCAAUCGAUGGAAUCGACGCGUUGCCCUCUACAACUCCCGCUCACCUCAAACUAAUGAGGAAGAGGCCAAUUACAGCGCCGAUCGCCUUCCAAGUCUUCGUUAAAGGCCCGGUCCGUGUCUGCGGGCCAAAGAGGAGAGUGGAAGGAGUUCUUGACCUUGGCUUUGUGUAACUUCACUUUUGUCAAAGGAGGCAUCACCAAAACAAAUGAAUUAAAAAAACAGCCGUAUUUGCCGGUGAAAGAGAUAUUUCUCAGCUUUCCAGUGCGAUAGAGAUGAUGGAGGAACGAAAGCAUGGCCGUAAUCUCCGGCAUCCGCUAUCAAAGCUCUCUGUGUCUAUAUCGCUUUCUCUCUCUUCCCUUCUAGGCUCAUUUGUCCUCUUUUUUUUUUUGAAUUUCUCCCCCCUCCCCAUCUUUGCCAACCUUCCCUUACUGUGCCACUUUGUGUAACUCUAUUGCCCCUGAAACGUUAUAACCAACCACACCAGCAGCGCUGCUACCACUGCAGGGCUCGUCCAGAUGUGCAGUGGAUCAGACCGGCAUCACCAGCAGACACUGAGAAGAGUCACUGGAUGUCACAUCCAGGAUGUACUGUACGUGCCGCCGGGCUUCCCAGCUGUGGGGGACUUUCAUCCGCGACACCACAGAGAAGGACCACUUCCGGUAUUCAUUACAAAUGGCUGUCACCAUGUGAGCCAAACAGGAAUGUUCCAACGCACGUGAAGCAUUUCAGGGGGAACUACACUAUCAAUUAGAGCGCGACCUUUUCUUUGCUUGGGCUUUGGCCUUUGCGUAAUCAUUUGGCUGAUGGUUGGAUAAUGGAGUUGCAGUCCGGGGAUGACGAGAGACGUUACAUUUAGGACACCUGGCUUCGCAGGAAAACACGCAGGAUGUAAUUUGAACGGUAGAAAGAAUGCACGUACCGUAAAGUAAUUCACGUCUCAGUUUGGCCAGUGCUUGGAGAGCAAAAAACACCAGUGCCACUGUUUGCUCACCUCCGCUCUCUUCCUCGACUGGCGAGGUGUCUGCGAGGUUCGGGCCAGCACCCUGCAGAGAGGAGUCCACCUCAUCCAAACGAGGCCUGACAGGCGACUGCGUCCACGACGCCGCGUGCACACUGGGACCGGCCGCCAGGGGCAUUCGGCUAAGACGUCGGCCAACGGCUCAGCAUCCUCCUACAGCAUCGAGAGCUGCUCCAACGAACGCUGCAUGAACACGAGAUGUUUCGGAGGGCUUUCUAACUUGAAGCCGCCGCUCUGGGUUCCUGCGCUCCUCUCCCUCGCUCCCUCCGCCGAUUGAUAUUCGCGCCGAGCAGGCAGCCUGAGCCCCGGAGCUCAAAGGGUUCCGUAUCUGUGGUCCACGGCGCUGAAGAGGGUGGAACGCAGUGAAAUAAUAGAAAUCUUAAGAGGUGAGAAUCAAGCGCUGUUGUGCUUCCCUCUGUGUCAGCUGGAGGUGUUUAUUGUGCUAAAACAGCCAGAGCCCGUGCAGCUGCCCUGGGUUUGUAUUACCCCGGCGUCUACGCACCAGCUCCGCCUGGGACGCGUCCCAGCAGCAGGCUGCUUGGACCUCAACCCUACCAGGACGGUCGUCCUUUGUGGAAAGAAACUGGACCCGACGCGGCUUCUCACGCAAACCGGCAACCCGACGUAAGAUUCCCAGAUGGCCGACCGCGUGAACCAACGCACCCCUGGAGUUGGCGCGGCGCUUCCCGUCCGGCUCAGCGUGACCACGCCGCCGGCCGAGCGCUCCCCAGAGGGCGCUCCGUCAUCUACCGCCAGCCCUAUUCUGAGGAGGUCAAGCGCGUUGUCCCUCCGACGGCGGCUGGAGCCCCGGGCCGGCCUGACCUUGUGGAUUGGCGUCCCCAAGGUCGCAGCCGGCCGCCCUCGCCUGUCUACGAUGGGCGCGACCACGCGGUUGACGAGUCUGUCCCAAAUGGACGUGACGUGUCUGUGAGGGGGCUCCCGCUGCCCCGAAGCGGGGGUCGUGGCGCUUACCCAAGCUCUAUUCCUGGACGCGGCCUGGCGAGAGAUGCCCCUGUCCUCCGCUCAUCCGGCUCCGCCGCCAGGGCGCCGUCCGGCCCAGAUCCCGGACCAGCCGGGAUUGGCCUGUCUGGCAGUCUUGCGCGUCCCCUGCGCAGACGCCUCCACGUCGAACAGCCUUUUGCAAGGUGACCCUGUUCAAGGACGUCGGGCGGAACGCAGCAUCGGGUCCAGUUGGAAUGAGUCGGGGAGCGUGACGCUUUGCCGUCGUCUUCCUGUGAGGAUCUGUUGAAGAUGGCAGGCGAGCAUUUUUUGACUGAUGAGAAAUGUGUUUGUCAGGUGUUCUCUAACUGUUUUUUUGUUUAUUGAACAAUGCUCAUCGUGUGUGUGUGUGUCUAUAUGCUUGUGCAUUGUCCCUUACUUGAAUGUAACACUAAAACUAGAUGCUUUCUUGAAUACACGUUGUAUUUUGCCUCUUUCUGCUCCCCCAUCAGAGAUGUGUUACCACAGUGCCAUCUGUUGGUUCUGAGGUGAAGUUCUUCCUUCGGCUCACAUUGUUUGAGCACAGAAGCUCGACAAACGCCCUCAUCUCUUUACGCUCUUCAUUUUGCCCAAUGUCCAAAUAAAGUCUUUCAGUCAUCA